GUGGAUUAGAUACCCUGGUAGUCCACGCCCUAAACGAUGUCUACUAGUUGUUGGUGGAGUAAAAUCCAUGAGUAACGCAGCUAACGCGUGAAGUAGACCGCCUGGAGAGUACGGUCGCAAGAUUAAAACUCAAAUGAAUUGACGGGGGCCCGCACAAGCGGUGGAUUAUGUGGAUUAAUUCGAUGCAACGCGAAAAACCUUACCUGGCCUUGACAUGUACCGAAUUUAGCAGAGAUGCUUUAGUGCUCGAAAGAGAACGGUAACACAGGUGCUGCACGGUCGUCGCCAGCU
This 291-nucleotide ribosomal RNA is filed under the name uncultured bacterium. RNAcentral describes it as "partial 16S ribosomal RNA". It matches the Rfam family "Bacterial small subunit ribosomal RNA", at positions 773 to 1060 of the family's 1533-position model. The record is from RNAcentral.